This 491-nucleotide ribosomal RNA is filed under the name uncultured bacterium. Its description in RNAcentral is "bacterial SSU rRNA". It matches the Rfam family "Bacterial small subunit ribosomal RNA", at positions 8 to 518 of the family's 1533-position model. The record is from RNAcentral.
AGAGUUUGAUUAUGGCUCAGGACGAACGCUGGCGGCGUGCUUAACACAUGCAAGUCGAACGGGAGUAUUGAAGAAGCUUGCUUUAGAGAUACUUUAGUGGCGGACGGGUGAGUAACGCGUGAGGGGCUGUCCUAUGCAGGGGGACAACAGCUGGAAACGGCUGCUAAUACCCCAUAAGCCGAGAGGUAAAAGGAUCAAUCCGGCAGAGGAGGUACUCGCGUCCUAUCAGCUAGUAGGUGAGGUAACGGCUCACCUAGGCGAAGACGGGUAGCCGGCCUGAGAGGGCGAACGGCCACACUGGAACUGAGAUACGGUCCAGACUCCUACGGGAGGCAGCAGUGGGGAAUAUUGGGCAAUGGGGGAAAAACCCCCUGACCCAGCGACGCCGCGUGGGUGAAGAAAUCCUUCGGGAUGUAAAGCCCUGUUGUAUGGGAAGAGCGGAAGACGGUACCAUACGAGGAAGCCCCGGCAAACUACGUGCCAGCCGCGGC